CAUGCAGUCGAGCGGGCAUCUUCGGGUGUCAGCGGCAGACGGGUGAGUAACACGUGGGAACGUACCCUUCGGUUCGGAACAACUCUGGGAAACUGGAGCUAAUACCGGAUACGCCCUUAUGGGGAAAGGUUUACUGCCGAAGGAUCGGCCCGCGUCUGAUUAGCUAGUUGGUGGGGUAACGGCCUACCAAGGCGACGAUCAGUAGCUGGUCUGAGAGGAUGAUCAGCCACACUGGGACUGAGACACGGCCCAGACUCCUACGGGAGGCAGCAGUGGGGAAUAUUGGACAAUGGGCGCAAGCCUGAUCCAGCCAUGCCGCGUGAGUGAUGAAGGCCUUAGGGUUGUAAAGCUCUUUUGUCCGGGACGAUAAUGACGGUACCGGAAGAAUAAGCCCCGGCUAACUUCGUGCCAGCAGCCGCGGUAAUACNAAGGGGGCUAGCGUUGCUCGGAAUCACUGGGCGUAAAGGGCGCGUAGGCGGCCAUUCAAGUCGGGGGUGAAAGCCUGUGGCUCAACCACAGAAUUGCCUUCGAUACUGUUUGGCUUGAGUAUGGUAGAGGUUGGUGGAACUGCGAGUGUNNAGGUGAAAUUCGUAGAUAUUCNCAAGAACACCGGUGGCGAAGGC
This 623-nucleotide ribosomal RNA is filed under the name bacterium V02. RNAcentral describes it as "bacterial SSU rRNA". It matches the Rfam family "Bacterial small subunit ribosomal RNA", at positions 54 to 722 of the family's 1533-position model. The record is from RNAcentral.